Molecule: ribosomal RNA, 117 nt
Filed under: Paenibacillus chibensis
Lineage: Bacteria; Bacillati; Bacillota; Bacilli; Caryophanales; Paenibacillaceae
Also listed under: 1 other name
Source: RNAcentral
UUUGGUGGCGAUGGCGGAGGGGUUCCACGCGUACCCAUCCCGAACACGACCGUUAAGCCCUCCAGCGCCGAUGGUACUUGGACCGAAGGGUCCUGGGAGAGUAGGAAGCCGCCAAGC